RNAcentral lists this ribosomal RNA (795 nucleotides) under uncultured Clostridium sp. Its description in RNAcentral is "partial 16S ribosomal RNA". It matches the Rfam family "Bacterial small subunit ribosomal RNA", at positions 491 to 1289 of the family's 1533-position model. The record is from RNAcentral. Lineage: Bacteria; Bacillati; Bacillota; Clostridia; Eubacteriales; Clostridiaceae.
UUUUAGCAAGAUCGUGCCAGCAGCCGCGGUAAUACGUAGGGGGCAAGCGUUAUCCGGAAUUACUGGGUGUAAAGGGUGAGUAGGCGGUUUGGAAAGUCNUAUGNGAAAGCCCGAGGCUCAACCUCGGGAUUGCAUAANAAACUCUCGAACUAGAGUACAGGAGAGGNAAGCGGAAUUCCUAGUGNAGCGGUGAANUGNGUAGAUAUUAGGAAGAACACCAGUGGCGNANGGGGNUUACUAGACUGAAACUGANGCUGAGUCACGAANGCGUGGGGAGCGAACAGGAUUAGAUACCCUGGUAGUCCACGCUGUAAACGAUGAGUGCUAGGUGUCGGGGGGAGACUCUCGGUGCCGCAGCUAACGCAAUAAGCACUCCACCUGGGGAGUACGGUCGCAAGAUUGAAACUCAAAGGAAUUGACGGGGGCCCGCACAAGCGGUGGAGCAUGUGGUUUAACUCGAAGCAACGCGAAGAACCUUACCNAGGCUUGNCGNCCCUUUGACCGGUGUAGAGAUACACCUUUCCUUCGGGACAAAGGUGACAGGUGGUGCAUGGUUGUCGUCNGCUCGUGUCGUGAGAUGUUGGGUUAAGUCCCGCAACGAGCGCAACCCUUAUUUUUAGUAGCCNGCACGUUAUGGUGGGCACUCUANAGAGACUGCNGUGGAUAACACGGAGGAAGGUGGGGACGACGUCNAAUCAUCAUGCCCCUNAUGUCUUGGGCAACACACGUGCUACNAUGGNACGGUACAAAGUGACGCNNCUAGUGAUAAUGAGCAAACCACAAAAAAACGUCCUC